This is a long non-coding RNA of Ictalurus punctatus (channel catfish), 1050 nucleotides long. NCBI's taxonomy places the organism in Eukaryota, Metazoa, Chordata, Actinopteri, Siluriformes, Ictaluridae. The record is from Ensembl.
GCGUGCGUGCGUGCGUUUAUUUUUGUAUGGUCGUGGGCCUUCAUGAUAAUUAAAGUGUGUGUUCACGGUUUCACACGGUUAGCAUGACGGGACAGGGAUGGACUGCGAUUGGUCAGAAAGUGUUGAUCGGUUUUCUGUAACUGCAGCGCUGACUGUAGUGCAGCUUCAAAUCACAGGUUUAGAGAAAUGCAUCAUUGUAUAAAAGAUACGAAGAAAGGCUGGAGAGAUGGGGAAAGAGAGAAAGAAAGGCUGGAGAGAUGGGGAAAGAAAGAAAGGCUGGAGAGAUGUGGAAAGAAAGAAAGAAAGGCUGGAGAGAUAGGGAAAGAAAGAAGAAAGGCUGGAGAGAUGGGAGAAGAAAGAAAGAAAGAAAGGCUGGAGAGAUGGGAGAAGAAAGAAAGAAAGAAAGAGGCUGGAGAGAUGGGAGAAGAAGGAAAGAAAGAAAGGCUGGAGAGAUGGGAGAAGAAAAAAGCUGGAGAGAUGGGGAAAGAAAGAAAUGGUAGAGUGAUGGAGGAAGAAAGAAAGAGGCUGGAGAGAUGGGGAAAGAUAGAAAGGCUGGCGGGAUGGGAGAAGAAAGCAAGAGACAGGAUGGAGAGAUGGGAGAAGAAGCAAGAGACAGGAUGGAGAGAUGGGAGAAGAAAGAAAGAUGGAAAGAAAUAAAAAAGGAAAGAAAGAAAAAAAGACUGGUAAGAUGGGGGAAGAAAGAAAGAGAGGAUGGAAAGAUGGGGGAAGAAAGAAAGAAAGAGAGAGAGGUUGGAAAGAUCUUUCUACGUGCUCUCCGGUACGCGCCGUCACGUUAUACGCGUGUUUAAUGGUUUCUAAUGCCUCUCCGGCAUUGCGUGUUAUUUUUUAGGAGCAGAAAGAACAUUGUAUAAGAGAAAACCAUUCAACUCGGAAUAUUUCACGACUCUGUAGCUGCAUUACUAUCUGAAGAUAGUGUUUGACGUAAACCAGCGAAAAAUACUUCACGUGUUGUUGUUGUUGUUGUUGUUGUUGUUGUUUAGCUCAGGGAAAGGAGAGGAAGAAAGAAAGGGCGUUAAAAACAGCUGCUCG